CCUACGGGAGGCAGCAGUGGGGAAUAUUGGGCAAUGGGCGCAAGCCUGACCCAGCAACGCCGCGUGAAGGAAGAAGGCCCUCGGGUUGUAAACUUCUUUUAUUCGGGACGAAACAAAUGACGGUACCGAAUGAAUAAGCCACGGCUAACUACGUGCCAGCAGCCGCGGUAAUACGUAGGUGGCAAGCGUUAUCCGGAUUUACUGGGUGUAAAGGGCGUGUAGGCGGGAGAGCAAGUCAGACGUGAAAUUCCAGGGCUCAACCCUGGAACUGCGUUUGAAACUGUUCUUCUUGAGUGAUGGAGAGGCAGGCGGAAUUCCGUGUGUAGCGGUGAAAUGCGUAGAUAUACGGAGGAACACCAGUGGCGAAGGCGGCCUGCUGGACAUUAACUGACGCUGAGGCGCGAAAGCGUGGGGAGCAAACAGGAUUAGAUACCCCAGUAGUC
RNAcentral lists this ribosomal RNA (443 nucleotides) under uncultured bacterium. RNAcentral describes it as "partial 16S ribosomal RNA". It matches the Rfam family "Bacterial small subunit ribosomal RNA", at positions 338 to 795 of the family's 1533-position model. The record is from RNAcentral.